GGUCAUUUAGAGGAAGUAAAAAUCGUAACAAGGUUUCCGUAGGUGAA
This 47-nucleotide ribosomal RNA is filed under the name Austropuccinia psidii. RNAcentral's name for it is "18S ribosomal RNA". The record is from RNAcentral. Lineage: Eukaryota; Fungi; Basidiomycota; Pucciniomycetes; Pucciniales; Sphaerophragmiaceae.